AUUGAACGCUGGCGGCAGGCCUAACACAUGCAAGUCGAGCGGAUGAGAGGAGCUUGCUCCUUGAUUUAGCGGCGGACGGGUGAGUAAUGCCUAGGAAUCUGCCUGGUAGUGGGGGAUAACGUUCCGAAAGGAACGCUAAUACCGCAUACGUCCUACGGGAGAAAGCAGGGGACCUUCGGGCCUUGCGCUAUCAGAUGAGCCUAGGUCGGAUUAGCUAGUUGGUGAGGUAAUGGCUCACCAAGGCGACGAUCCGUAACUGGUCUGAGAGGAUGAUCAGUCACACUGGAACUGAGACACGGUCCAGACUCCUACGGGAGGCAGCAGUGGGGGAUAUUGGACAAUGGGCGAAAGCCUGAUCCAGCCAUGCCGCGUGUGUGAAGAAGGUCUUCGGAUUGUAAAGCACUUUAAGUUGGGAGGAAGGGCAGUAAGCUAAUACCUUGCUGUUUUGACGUUACCGACAGAAUAAGCACCGGCUAACUUCGUG
This 484-nucleotide ribosomal RNA is filed under the name uncultured bacterium. RNAcentral's name for it is "partial 16S ribosomal RNA". It matches the Rfam family "Bacterial small subunit ribosomal RNA", at positions 30 to 507 of the family's 1533-position model. The record is from RNAcentral.